Molecule: long non-coding RNA, 1053 nt
Organism: Trachemys scripta elegans
Lineage: Eukaryota; Metazoa; Chordata; Testudines; Emydidae
Exons: 4
Source: RefSeq, a predicted model, not a curated record
UAUUCUGGAUCGAUAUGGCAAGUGCAUUGAGACUGCAGCAACACAUUUAAAACCUUAUAAAAGGUUAUUUAGUUGCUAACAGUGCAGCAGUUUCUGCAAAGCCUGCCAAAAGGUUACAGCUUUUUGGGCAUCAUAAAUUACAGACGACAGGGGAAAAAAAUGGACAAUGACUAGUAUCUAAUUAGGCCCGUGCCAACCCUGCAAGACAUGGUUCAUACAGGUGUCGGGGAGCAGAGCCCUGCACAGCUUGGAAUCAAAUCAAAGCAUCCUCUACUGGCUCCCUUGCCAGUCCAAAUCUGGUACUUAUCCAGCACACUUCACUGAAGUGUUUGAGACACUCAUAAACAAUAGCAUGGCUGGAUCUGUCCUCACAGCUACACUGUGAAAGGAAGAGGCAUCAUUAUUCCUGUUUUAGAGAGGAAAAACUGAGGUGCAUAGAAGGACACAGGAAGUGCAGAGCUGAGAAGAAAUGAGAAGGAAAAUGGAACUUUUUCAAAGCCUCUAAAUAGCAUGACAGAUUUGGUUUUAGUUAGAAAUAUUCUGUUCUUCAAAUCAAUUCAGUUCUUCCUGUAUUUUGUCCAACACAUUUACCCAGUCCUAUAAAAUAAAAUAACCUAUCCGAAUUAGCAGAUUGGGCCUCUUAGGCUACACAUGGGUUCAUGCUGCAAAACUCAGAGCCAAACUCAGCUCAUGAAUACCUCCAAACCUGAUGGUGAACUUGUGAACUGACUGCUACCAUCGGUCAUCAUCAGAGACUGAACACAGGGCCUCCAAUGCUAAAAGAAUGAACAACCACUGCUUGUGUUAAAGAAGCCUCUGGCUCUCAGCUGUAGUAGACUCAUAACCUCUUUGGACCAGAUGGAACUGUAAUACACACCAAACAGUGGGUUACUGAGCUGCAGGGUUUCGCUUCAGGGCCAUCUCUAAUUCAGACAGGACAAUCUCUGCUUUUCAGGAGGUCUGGUUAUUUCUUCUGACCUUCCUCUCCCUGGACCUCCAUUACAUAUCUACUUUGGGGGUGAAAUUCACCUCUGUGCAGAGUCAGCAGAGUAA